CACGCUUUACGCUCUUGCUCUAUUUCUGUUCUCUGUUCCUUAUAUGUAAAAGCAACAGUAAAGUUAAACAGUUCAAUUCAAAAGAAGUGAUAUCUCAUUAACGGGCUGUGACCUUUUUCAUUAUAUCUCAAUUAUUAAACUAGAAAACUAUAGAAAACUUGUAUAUUGGCUUAUGAUAUUUUGGUCUGACUGCAAAGCAGAACACCAUUUUUAGAAGUUAUCGAAUAUACAUAUGUAUACUCGGAUUUACAUUGUUUUGUUUUAAGAGUUGGUAAACAUUUUCAGUGUUAAAUUAUCUCUAAAAGGUGUACUUUAACUACAAAUCACUCGUUAAUAAAGUACAGAAACGUUUAAAAAUUGUGACUUUCGGGUAAAUUUAGAAUUUUCAAUUUUCUUUUAGAGUUAGCUCACGUAUUUAUUAAAAAGUUAGACUACAGACACUUUUUAGAUAAAAUGUACUUUAUUCUUCUCGUGAUAUAUUGGAUAUAACAUAAAUAUAAAAAUCAAAAAGAAUUUACUCAAAUAAUGUAUUAGUAAAACUAAAAGACUUUUUGGUAAAAAACGAAAUAAAAUAAAAUGCAAUAAUUUGUUAAUUAAGUUUUAUUAGUAGAAUAAUAAAUAAAAUGUUAGAAAUAUUCUAAGAAGUUUGCAAAAAUGUAUACUAAUAAAGCAGUUAAGAGUUUUUUUUUGUAAUUUGAUGGCAUGCGAAUGUUUUUUGACGAAAAAGUUCUUAAAAUUAAUUCAGUUUUGCUUUAAAAAAAAAUAACAAUAAUAACAAUAUAAAAACGUAGAAACAGUAUUUAGAGAGAAAAAAGUCAGAAACAGUAUUUAAAAAGUAAAAAAAAAAAUUAAGCAAAAGUGUUAAUAGUUAUGUAACCAAUGGACAUCAUUUAAUAAUAUAUCUGCAAUGUUAAUUGAAAAUAAAAAUAUUAUCUAUGUAUUAUUUAGAGUAAAAACCAAUAAAGCACUCUGCAUUUGCACAGUUUUAGUGUCUGGAAACGUAAUUAGUUCUAAUAAAAAAUAAUUAAUUUUUCAGUAUAGUGAAUUCAACAUUUUUAUGUGUAAAUAAAAAAAAAUGAAAUAAUUAAUAAAUUAAAAAUAAAACGAUAAUAAUAUUAAAAAAUUAAAAAAAGAACUAUUUCUGCACGGCAACAUUUGUUGCUUCAGGAUUAAAAUUUUCUACAAAAAAUUGCCACAUGUAAAAGUGAUUUUUGGUAUCGCGAAUAUAGUUAAUGUUAUAAUAACUAUAAGGAAUUUUCCACAUAAACAAACAAAAUUUCAAAUUUGUGGAAUGCUCUCAGUGUCCCGAAAAGCUGUUCUAGAAGUAAUCUAAUUGGUUAAAAGUCUGUAUUUUACUAGCC
This is a long non-coding RNA of Zeugodacus cucurbitae (melon fly), 1361 nucleotides long. RefSeq lists it as uncharacterized. The transcript has 2 exons. The record is from RefSeq and is a predicted model, not a curated record. NCBI's taxonomy places the organism in Eukaryota, Metazoa, Arthropoda, Insecta, Diptera, Tephritidae.